This 622-nucleotide ribosomal RNA is filed under the name uncultured bacterium. RNAcentral's name for it is "bacterial SSU rRNA". It matches the Rfam family "Bacterial small subunit ribosomal RNA", at positions 202 to 842 of the family's 1533-position model. The record is from RNAcentral.
CAAAGGAGCAAUCCGCUGAAAGAUGGGCUCGCGUCCGAUUAGGUAGUUGGCGGGGCAACGGCCCACCAAGCCGACGAUCGGUAGCCGGACUGAGAGGUUGAACGGCCACAUUGGGACUGAGACACGGCCCAGACUCCUACGGGAGGCAGCAGUGAGGGAUAUUGGUCAAUGGGGGAAACCCUGAACCAGCAACGCCGCGUGAGGGAAGACGGUUUUCGGAUUGUAAACCUCUGUCCUCUGUGAAGAUGAUGACGGUAGCAGAGGAGGAAGCUCCGGCUAACUACGUGCCAGCAGCCGCGGUAAUACGUAGGGAGCAAGCGUUGUCCGGAUUUACUGGGUGUAAAGGGUGUGUAGGCGGCUUUGCAAGUCAGAAGUGAAAUCCAUGGGCUUAACCCAUGAACUGCUUUUGAAACUGCAGAGCUUGAGUGGAGUAGAGGUAGGCGGAAUUCCCGGUGUAGCGGUGAAAUGCGUAGAGAUCGGGAGGAACACCAGUGGCGAAGGCGGCCUGCUGGGCUCUAACUGACGCUGAGGCACGAAAGCGUGGGUAGCAAACAGGAUUAGAUACCCUGGUAGUCCACGCUGUAAACGAUGAUUACUAGGUGUGGGUGGACUGACCCCAUCC